RNAcentral lists this ribosomal RNA (391 nucleotides) under Enterococcus hirae. RNAcentral describes it as "bacterial SSU rRNA". It matches the Rfam family "Bacterial small subunit ribosomal RNA", at positions 30 to 399 of the family's 1533-position model. The record is from RNAcentral. Lineage: Bacteria; Bacillati; Bacillota; Bacilli; Lactobacillales; Enterococcaceae.
CGAACGCUGGCGGCGUGCCUAAUACAUGCAAGUCGAACGCUUCUUUUUCCACCGGAGCUUGCUCCACCGGAAAAAGAGGAGUGGCGAACGGGUGAGUAACACGUGGGUAACCUGCCCAUCAGAAGGGGAUAACACUUGGAAACAGGUGCUAAUACCGUAUAACAAUCGAAACCGCAUGGUUUUGAUUUGAAAGGCGCUUUCGGGUGUCGCUGAUGGAUGGACCCGCGGUGCAUUAGCUAGUUGGUGAGGUAACGGCUCACCAAGGCGACGAUGCAUAGCCGACCUGAGAGGGUGAUCGGCCACAUUGGGACUGAGACACGGCCCAAACUCCUACGGGAGGCAGCAGUAGGGAAUCUUCGGCAAUGGACGAAAGUCUGACCGAGCAACGCCG